Long non-coding RNA from Hypomesus transpacificus, 2212 nucleotides. RefSeq lists it as uncharacterized. NCBI's taxonomy places the organism in Eukaryota, Metazoa, Chordata, Actinopteri, Osmeriformes, Osmeridae. The record is from RefSeq and is a predicted model, not a curated record. The transcript has 4 exons.
CAGAGAGAGAGACAGAGAGAGAGAGACAGAGACAGAGAGAGAGAGAUGGGGGGAAAGAGAGCGGGAGGGAGACAAGGUGAUAAGUUCGACCUGAACAGGGUUUCUUAAACUUUUGGGGGGCUUUUCCUGAUUUCUCUUAUACUCUUAUUCAUAUUCUGUAGGUAUGUAAAUGUAGUCAUGAUUUACUCUCCUGUUUUUCCAUUUUCCACUUUCUUUCACGUACCCCCUGUGCUACCUCAAUGUACCCCACGCGCUCCCCCGGUGGAGAAACACUGCACGAGGAUAAACAUCCUCAGUGCAACAGCGCGGGCCCCAAGACACUCAACACCCCAAAACUCAGGGACCAGGUUCAUGACACACCACACAAGCAUUAAAGUGCACAGGUCCUGGCAUAGCAACGACAUGUAGUCUUAGCUGACAUUAGUAUUAGCUUAACCUUAGAUCAAUAAAUGACAUCGUUAAUCAAAAAACGACUCAUACCAUUUUUAGGAGAGACGGGGGGAGAUGGGGGAAACGGGGGUUCAUUAUGAAACAGGCUACAUUUUAGUAAGCAACAAUACAAUGUUUAUGUUUACUUUUUUUAAGUAAUGGUGAGUAUUUCAGUUCAACAUUACAUAUAUAUUUCCUAAAAUAUUUGGGACGAACAUGAUUAUUGCUGGCAUCGCGGUUGGGCCCCACCACGGCUGGGCCCCAGAAAGCUUUCCCCCUUUCCCACCUUAUGGGCGGCCCUGGUCACUACUGCCCUCUACAGACCAAAAUAUGCUAGGUGCAGUUACGUGCACGCACCACGAACAGAGACUACCCGAAAGACCUAUUUGAAAUAACUGUUAGAGAGUGUUUACAUGUGACCGAUCUACCAAGGCUGUCUGACAAUCCAUGUGUAGAGCUCCAUAGACUACAUCAAGGAUAACGGAUUUAAUUUGACACCUAUGAGGCGCGUGAUUAGCCUUUGGAUAUUUGCGUCUAUCUCAGUCUGGCUACCAACCAACUUCACACUCGCCCAGCAGGUCUGAUUCCCGCUGCAGUGAAUAGACACUACGGGACAGAUUGAGUGUUUACUGUAGGCGUCGUUAACAUCAGUGGGCUGGGAAGCAUAAAAUACGUGUGGCUUCAUGCUCUCAGGGCAGAUUUUGAGUUAUAAAUCAUUGGUGACAUAGAUAGGAGGAAGGUUACCUCCCAUCUCUAUGCUUUGCCCGCCCAGAUCAUCUGGCCCGCCCAUGAGAAACUGAGCAACCACCGUGCAAGGGAGAGUGCAAUAUCGUUUUUUCCUGGAGAGACAUCAUGGCCAACAAACAAACGAAGCAUAACAGUUGCUCGGUGCUUGGAUGUACAAAUGAAAGCACAAAUCUUUUUUUAGUUCCUUCAUCCGAGCCUCUGCACAACCAGUAUCUCAAUUUUAUUUUCGCUGGAAAUGCGCCGACACAACUUCCCAAAGUUUUGCAUGUCUGCGGCAAACAUUUCAGCGACAACUGUUUCCACAACUCGGGACAAUACAGGGCUGGCUUUGCUGGCCGUCUGCAAUUGAAGACUGGAUCACUACCAACUCUCUUGGGUCCAGCUACAAACAUCGGACAAGCCAGCACACCAAGUGCUUCCAAUCAACUGCCUCUCUCACAGGCCUGCCAGACAGACCACCUGGAAACACGUACUGUAGGCACACAGCUAUCCUUGAAGACUCUGAAGUCCCACUUUAGAAGUAUUGGUGUCCAGGCAACUGUCUCCUGCAAAGAUGUUGGUGUUGGGACGUCCAAUGCAGACCCUUUGUGCCUGUCAUCGACACUUAUAAAGAGACCACCCAAAAGACCUCGUCUAGACCUCAAUGAAGAGCUGGAGGACAUUCCAUUGGAGGGUAGCUCUUUGGUGGACGCUUCAAAGGGACAGGAUUCCACUUAUGAUCCUGCAGACUCCAUCACAACAUCGUUAGACUCGACACAAAAGGACAUCUUGUGUACAUUGUUAGAUGUCUGAUUGAUAUUCUUUUUAUUUUAUUUUUUUACAGAUGGAAAAAACUGAUGGUUGUUAAAAUUGUGACAACUUCUUUUCCAUCGGGAUAAUGCUAAUUAUAUAGCCCAAGCCCAAGAUAAUAACUUUUCAUAACAAAUUGUCUAUCUGGAGAGAGUUAGGCUUGCGAAGUGACAUGCAUUACCUCAGAAGUCUUUAAUUACACAUUGAGGUUUAAUCUCAAAGCAAUUAAACGUACACUUAAAGCAUG